GGCAGCAGCUAAGAAUAUUCCACAAUGGACGAAAGUCUGAUGGAGCGACGCCGCGUGGGCGAUGAAGGCCGUGAGGUUGUAAAGCCCUUUUCUUGAGGGGGAAUAAAGCGGGCAGGGAAUGGCCUGCAGAUGACGUGAACAAGGAAUAAGCCCCGGCUAACUACGUGCCAGCAGCCGCGGUAACACGUAGGGGGCGAGCGUUGUUCGGAAUCAUUGGGCGUAAAGGGCGCGCAGGCGGCCGUGUAAGUCUGGUGUAAAAUGGUUGUGCUCAACACAAUCAUGCGCUGGAAACUGCGGGGCUUGAGUCAACGAGGGGAUGCCGGAAUUCCAGGUGUAGGGGUGAAAUCUGUAGAUAUCUGGAAGAACACCAGUGGCGAAGGCAGGCAUCUGGCGACUGACUGACGCUGAGGCGCGAAGGUGCGGGGAGCAAACAGGUUUAGAUACCCUGGUAGUCCGCACAGUAAACGAUGUGCACCAGGCGGCGGGCAGCAGUGCUCGGUACCGAAGCAAACGCAUUAAGUGCACCGCCUGGGGAGUAUGCCCGCAAGGGUGAAACUCAAAGGAAUUGACGG
This 572-nucleotide ribosomal RNA is filed under the name uncultured rumen bacterium. RNAcentral describes it as "bacterial SSU rRNA". It matches the Rfam family "Bacterial small subunit ribosomal RNA", at positions 347 to 916 of the family's 1533-position model. The record is from RNAcentral.